This is a long non-coding RNA of Tachysurus fulvidraco (yellow catfish), 410 nucleotides long. RefSeq lists it as uncharacterized. NCBI's taxonomy places the organism in Eukaryota, Metazoa, Chordata, Actinopteri, Siluriformes, Bagridae. The transcript has 3 exons. The record is from RefSeq and is a predicted model, not a curated record.
CUGGAAACCUGACGAUACAGCUUUUUAUCAAAGUCCAGCUGAGCAGAAACAGAAAAUUCGUCCUCUUCCUUAAACUCACUGAAAAGCCAAUUCUACAGAGGAACAGGACAAAGACAGACAGAGCUCAGUUUGGAAGGAGACGAGAGUGCUCCAAUUAAACCGGACAUCAGAAACAGGAUCCAAUAAGAAAGGAGCACACUUGAAGAAUACACAGUUCUCACCUGGACACUCCUGCAGGACAUCCCAUAAUAACACUGAUAUCUGGGCCUUCACCCUCACGCAAGCCCCGACGAACCGCUGUUCUUAACCGAGGAGAGCAAAGCCAUGUCGAGAUCCUGGUUCGCCGGUCUACACACAGCCUAAUCUACACACAGCCUAAUCUAGAAUGUUUCCUUGCUAGUGUAAAGCUA